UACGUAGGUGGCAAGCGUUGUCCGGAUUUAUUGGGCGUAAAGCGAGCGCAGGCGGUUUCUUAAGUCUGAUGUGAAAGCCCCCGGCUCAACCGGGGAGGGUCAUUGGAAACUGGGAGACUUGAGUGCAGAAGAGGAGAGUGGAAUUCCAUGUGUAGCGGUGAAAUGCGUAGAUAUAUGGAGGAACACCAGUGGCGAAGGCGGCUCUCNUGGUCUGUAACUGACGCUGAGGCUCGAAAGCGUGGGGAGCAAACAGGAUUAGA
Molecule: ribosomal RNA, 260 nt
Filed under: uncultured Enterococcaceae bacterium
Lineage: Bacteria; Bacillati; Bacillota; Bacilli; Lactobacillales; Enterococcaceae
Description: partial 16S ribosomal RNA
Rfam family: Bacterial small subunit ribosomal RNA
Source: RNAcentral